RNAcentral lists this long non-coding RNA (610 nucleotides) under Monodelphis domestica (gray short-tailed opossum). RNAcentral's name for it is "lncRNA (ENSMODG00000033013.2)". The record is from RNAcentral. Lineage: Eukaryota; Metazoa; Chordata; Mammalia; Didelphimorphia; Didelphidae.
UUUCCUGGGGAUCAAAUGACUAGCCUCAUUCAGUAAAUCAUUAAUCUGUGGCGGGACAGAGCUAUGAGGCCAUUUAUUUGAGAAACUACUACCUGAACCCCAGGCUUAAGCCUCUAAGGAUUUGACCAGUGAAUUAUUCAAGGGCAUGGCGCAGUGCCUGGUGUGGGCUUGGCAUUGAGGAUACAAGAACCAAAAAAGGAAAACAGUCUCUGUCCUCAAGAAACUUAUGUUCUAUCAAACAGAACUGAAAAGGCAUUCUGGGCUCCAAGAAGGAUCCUUUCAUAUAUUGGUUACCAUGGCUUACUAACUCCUCUACAUUUGGGCAUCUGUUUGCUGAAGCAGGGUUUGACUCAAAUGGUUAGCCCAUGGCUGGAUGCAUUUUUUCAUUCCAUUCUAAAGACAAUUCAAGUGAGAAACUUCAGUACAUUGGCUUUGUUCUGUGAGUCAUCGCACUGUAAUUAACUGAAUCUGGUUUUAAACACUGAGAGGACACCUUUCUUGUCUGUUUAUGUCAGGAAAAAUGGCUAAUGAGUACUUAUCAAAAAGAUGAACAUUUUUCAUUAGAUUAAGUAAAAUCAAAACAGAUUUAUAAUGUGCUAUUAGAUUUCAG